Salmo salar (Atlantic salmon) is the source of this 3622-nucleotide non-coding RNA. NCBI's taxonomy places the organism in Eukaryota, Metazoa, Chordata, Actinopteri, Salmoniformes, Salmonidae. The record is from RefSeq and is a predicted model, not a curated record.
UUCACGAAACUUCUCCAUUUUUUCUUUCAGUCUUUGAAUGAAUACAACGUUGUCCGGUUGGAAUAUUAUCGCUAUUUUAUGAGAAAAAUAGCAUAAAAAUAGAUUUUAAACAGCGUUUGACAUGCUUCUAAGUACGGUAAUGGAAUAUUUUGAAAUUUGUUGUCACGAAAUGCGCUCGCGCAUUACCCUUCGGAUAGUGACCUGAACGCACGAACAAAACGGAGGUAUUUGGAUAUAACUAUGGAUUAUUUGGAACCAAAACAACAAGUAUGGAUUGAUGCAUAUUUAUUGUGAUCAUUCAUGAUGUUACUCACUUGACCGUGAAAUCAUCUGCUGCCAGCUUGGCGUUGUCAAUGCUGAGGUAGAUUCCACCGUUGAUGCGUGUGGCAUCCUGGAUCUGAAAGAGAAAAUUACGUUUUGGAGUUGAACAGUUUUAUUUGGAGCGAAUGGAUGAAUGGAGCUAUAAACUUGAUCUGAUUUUGAGGCAGUUUUGGGUAUGUUAGUGUGUCUGACAAUGGACCAGUGAUCAAUUACCCUGGGAUACAUACACUGCGUUAACAGUGCACAAAAAUGGAAUUCAUUAAAUUAAAGCUACAGGUAAGAACAUCAAUGCGGUAAUGGGCAUGAACUAGAUUUAUGAUAUUGUCCUUGACAUUAUCAGGUUACUGGUGAAGGCUUACUAAGCAGUGGUGUUUAUCUUGUGCCUGGGAGUAACAGGCACUCCCCUACCUCUUCCACAAUAGUAAGGUAACAGCUAUCAGUGGCCGUAAAACCCAGCCUUUAUAAACAAGUUGUAAAAGUAGUCAUAAUGAUGUAGUGUAGUUGUAAACAAGUUGACUGACAUCCCUUGUCUUGGAGUUCAGUGAUGGAGAGAUGAAAGGCACUGUAGUCACGACCAGUGGGGGAGGACUUGGCCUCCAGGAACAUGCGGAUCUUGUGCUAAAGAUCAGCAUUGGUAUUCUCCAGGGAGCGGACCUUGUCCAGAUAAGUGGCCAGACGGUCGUUCAGGUUCUGCAUGGUGGCCUUCUCGUUGGCAGACACGUGCAGGUCCAGGCCAUCAGACAGGGUGAAGCCACAUCCAUCACCACCCAUGCCAAAACCACCGCCAGCAGAGAAGGACCUGGAUGCACUGGAACUGGAGAUGCAGACCCAAGAGCGGUUGGAAAAUCUUUCCUCAACCGAGCUGUUUGACACCUGAUCCAACUGGCCCCCACUGCAAUGUUGGCUUUGGUUAGUCCAGAAGUCAAAUGUAGCAGAUAGUGGAUUUCGUCAAUUGCCAAAUGCCAAAACCACCGCCAGCAGAGAAGGACUUGGAUGCACUGGAACUAGAGAUGCGGACCCCAGAACCACCUGCACCCCCAUACAUGCUGCAUGCCCUCAUGCCACUGAUGCGGCUACCACCUCCCAUGCUUCCCCCUCCAGACAUGGAGAUGUGAGAGGACAUGAAGGUGCUGCUGGAGAAGGACAUGUUGAUUGAGUCUGCUGUCUUACUGCUAUAACUGGAGAGGAGUUAGUUAAUAGUGCAGGAGAAGGGCUGGUUGUUUUAUACAACUUCACAGGAGGGGGUUAGAGCUGGGAGGAAAAGAUAAUGAAAGGAAUGGGAGGAAACACUUCCCCUAAGUCUUCUAUUUAAGUCAUACAUGCGCACACACGGGCAUGACAGACUCAAUCUCUCAAUUGCUUGUUGAUGUGUCAAAGGGCAGCAAGUUCUGAGAUGUAAUUUCUUAUCAAUCAUCAUUUAUUUUAGCUCGUCGUUGAAUAUCAGUCUGCAGAGCACAUGCUUGAUGUACUGUCAGGAUUAAAUCACACUAAAAGAUUGAAAGUCCAUGUUUAAUAUAAUUUUACUUUAAACACAUUUUAGAACAUAGAACAAAUCGUGUAGUGGAGACUGCUCCUUAGUUAAAGAGUAACUUUACCCCCUGAUUACACACUCAUACGUCUUACCUAGGGUCCAAGCUGUGUCCGUAUGACACUAAUGGUGAGAAGUAUGUGUGAACUGGCUAAAGAUAGCUGAUUGAGUCAAGGCCAUCUCCAUGCAAACUUUUCAAAUCAAAUCAAAUUUCAUUAGUCACAUGCGCCAAAUACAACAGGUGUAGACCUUACAGUGAAAUGAUCUUAAAAAAUGGUUUAUUCAUCAAUGAAUGUAAUUAAUAAUUAGGCUACCUAUGCAUGAUUUGAGAAAAAGCCUAACUCCCAGUAGCAUUUGUUUGCUUUUGAUGCAGGCACGUAAAUAUGUUAUUUACCGGUACAUGCCAUCCUUUACCUAUCUUACCCUAUUGAAUGGUUUCCAUUGUGCCCUGCUUUUGAGCAAGCUACAGUAAAACAUUAAGAAUCCAUAAAAUUGGUAUCAAAAAAUACUUUGAUGUUAGUCACCACAAGAUCCAGUAAUUUGUGACCAACCGGCCUAAAUUUGUCUUAUGUAGCAAAAUUUGAAAUUGCGUUUUUUACAGUGGAUAAAAGUAGAGACUCAGAGCUACAAAAUGGUAUAUCAUACACUUCCUUUUGGAGGAACAAUGUGAAAGUAAUUCUUCUUUGAAAGUUGAUAAACUUGUAGACUCACUUUUAGUCUCUUUGAUCAUGGAAUAUUCAUUACUUUCUUAUGCACAUUGAUUUUACCCAUAUCUCAUUCACGGUUUCAUCUGAUGAGUUUCUUUCUGCUUGUGCAGAAACCUGUCUAACCUGUGGCCACGCAUAGUUGGUCGCCAGCCCCAUACAGGCCUCUUAAUUUAUCAUCCGCAGUAGAGGUCGUUUAAGCAAACCCUCUCUAAAUGUUAUGUGUAAAUAAAAUCUCUUUUACAAUUCGUCCAGCAGGAUCCCUCUCAGCCAAAGAAUUGUCACUUUGUCCUACUGAAACAAUCUUUUCUCUGUCUUCUCUCUCUAAGGUUCAUCUGCCGCUGCAUCUUGCAGCUUUAUCAUGGCUAACAUUUAAUGAGUCUGAUGGUAACUGACUGUAGAACAGUGCAAACACCAAACUCAAAUUUUCCCUACUAACUGCAAUUGGACUAUAAGCUCUAUACUCCGUCAUACCGUAAAUGCAUUCAGUAUGUUACAUAAUUCACCACCAUGUAUUUACUUAGUCCUUCAUUGUUUUGGUUGUGUAUUGUAUUGUCUAUGUGUUGUAUGUGUCACAGCAAUGCAUCUCUCCUGUCACCUGGCUGGGUCGCUGCAUGUUUGAAUGUACUUAGUGCACUUAGUGAUAGAGGCAUUUUUCCACCACUGGUUGCUGAAUUGAUUGUUAAGUUGGUUUAAGGUGUUUUUGACUUGUUGUAAGAUUGGAAAAAGUCAACAAGAGUGCACAAUGCAAUGUGUGGUAUAUAGCACUUGAAAAAAAUCAUAAGGCAAAAAGUAAGAUCAAACAAAAUGUAACAAUAGUUGUUAUCCAGAAAUCCCUUCAGUCACUAUCAGUAACUCUGUUUCCUAGUAACACAAAUCUGCCUUUCUAACCUUUAAAUCUUGUGGGUUAAACAUUGACAUGCCACACUCAUGUGUCAAUACCUGGCCCUCAGAGAAUGAAAAAAUCUAUUGGUUGAAAAGACUAACCAAUCUCAAGUCUUGGUUCUUAACCUAUAUCAACAUUAAAACAGUACGAACAGUGCAAGGCACCUGGCCCUGUCAGAAACUA